This 73-nucleotide transfer RNA is filed under the name Triticum urartu. It matches the Rfam family "tRNA". Rfam says of the family: Transfer RNA (tRNA) molecules are approximately 80 nucleotides in length. Their secondary structure includes four short double-helical elements and three loops (D, anti-codon, and T loops). Further hydrogen bonds mediate the characteristic L-shaped molecular structure. tRNAs have two regions of fundamental functional importance: the anti-codon, which is responsible for specific mRNA codon recognition, and the 3' end, to which the tRNAs corresponding amino acid is attached (by aminoacyl-tRNA synthetases). tRNAs cope with the degeneracy of the genetic code in two manners: having more than one tRNA (with a specific anti-codon) for a particular amino acid; and 'wobble' base-pairing, i.e. permitting non-standard base-pairing at the 3rd anti-codon position. The record is from Rfam by way of RNAcentral. Lineage: Eukaryota; Viridiplantae; Streptophyta; Magnoliopsida; Poales; Poaceae.
GCCCACUUAGCUCAGAGGUUAGAGCAUCGCAUUUGUAAUGCGAGGGUCAUCUGUUCAAAUCUGAUAGUCGGCU